GCGACCCCAGGUCAGACGGCAUUA
This 24-nucleotide ribosomal RNA is filed under the name Rhododendron hongkongense. Its description in RNAcentral is "partial 28S ribosomal RNA". The record is from RNAcentral. Lineage: Eukaryota; Viridiplantae; Streptophyta; Magnoliopsida; Ericales; Ericaceae.